Non-coding RNA from Arachis ipaensis, 1355 nucleotides. The record is from RefSeq and is a predicted model, not a curated record. Lineage: Eukaryota; Viridiplantae; Streptophyta; Magnoliopsida; Fabales; Fabaceae.
GGUUGGUUUUGGGUUUGAAUUUGUUUUGAUAGUUGCUGGUAGUUGUGGAUAGUGGCUAAAUUUUGUGGAAUUUAGGGUUAUUUUGUUGCAAACAAGAAUUCAGUUUAAAUUUGCAUGGCAUAUCGAUGAGUCGUACAAUUUUGGAUUUUGAAACAUCAACAAGCCUUGUAACUUGUAAUAUGUAUCAACUUCGCUAUGUAACCAACACAAGUCCAUAGCUAACUCCUCCCAAUUUUUAUUGGGUUGGAUCAAAAAAUCUAAUUCACUCAAAAAGCCACAUCCCUAAUUACCUAAGGUAAAUCCUAAUAUAUCCAAUUUACCAAUGUAAACCUAAUUUACACAUAGGAUUAUCGUGCAACUACAUCCCCCAACCUCUUCACUUCCCCCCAACCUCUCCACUUUCAGCGCCGAUCAAACCUUCUUCCCUAUGGUCCACGUCUGUCGCCGCCAUCAACCGAAGUCAGCGUUGCUGGAGCGCUGGUCGUCGACCCAAAUAGGGGCGCUUCGAAGUCACCCCUGCGCCACACGGUGCUGUUGCAUGUCACGGUCCGAGCUCCAAGGAAGACGCAUCCACUCCUCGACUUGCUCUGCAACAACUCACGCCACUGUUGGAGACCACCCCUGCACCACCGGUUCUGCUGCAUGUCACCGUCGGUCCUCCAUUGAAGAUGCAUCCACUCCUCAUCUUGCUCUGCCACAACGCACGCAGCUAUUGAAGACCCACCCCUGCGCCGCCAGACAACUAGCAAGCGCUACCCCUGUUCGUCCUGUGGAGCCCUAGCCAUCGCCGCUUACAACCUCGCCACCUAGACGCGUUGCGCACCUUGUCUUUCCUCCAGCGCCGGCGCUGCCAUACAGGGAAUCUGAUAAGGGAGGGGGAGUUAGAUACGGCUCAGUGAGCACAGGUGCACCUCCAGUUGCAUCGGAUGGGGAUGACGAGGACGACGAGCCCAUUGCCAAGAGACUACGCAGGAACAUUGAGCAAAUAAGAACACCUGAACUACAUAUGACAAAAGGGGACACCGGCACAACCAAUCAGACAGACACAAGAGUUAACCAAAAGGAUCCACUAAGAGGGGAGGAGUUAGCAGGGGCUCAGUGAGCACAAAAGCAGCUUCAGUUGCAUCCGACAAGGAUCACGAUGACGACGACCCCGUAGGCAAGAUACUCCGUAGAAAAACACAGUUGAGACAAUCACCUCAGCAUCAUAUGAUGGAGAGGGACACCGGCACGACUAGCCAGGCAGAAACAACAGAGCAACCAACUGUCCCGGCCGAUCCUGAACCCAAAAUUCCGUCAACAGCAUUGGUGCAGUAUUCAGGAGAUGAUGAAUACUUUAGUGAAUUUUUUGACAG